Dermacentor andersoni is the source of this 253-nucleotide long non-coding RNA. RefSeq lists it as uncharacterized. The record is from RefSeq and is a predicted model, not a curated record. NCBI's taxonomy places the organism in Eukaryota, Metazoa, Arthropoda, Arachnida, Ixodida, Ixodidae.
UCGGGCGCUGCCUCCGUGGGGCGGGUCCACUACGCCAUCGAAACUGAGGAGCUGCAAUGGACGUGCGGGACCGGCUUGCGCGGUACUUUAUACAAGAUGGCACGGUGCCAUGGCAAGAAAGAAUUGUAGCACAUGCAGGCACUAAGGAAAUGUGAACCAAGUACCGGGGAGGAUAAACAGCAGGCAGCGCCCUCUUUGGAAGCCUUCGCGAAACCAAAGCAAGAAGCAUUAAUGGAAAUAUCUUGCAUUAAAC